UACGAAGGGGGCUAGCGUUGUUCGGAAUUACUGGGCGUAAAGCGCGCGCAGGCGGCUAUCCAAGUCAGUGGUGAAAGCCCGGAGCCCAACUCCGGAACUGCCAUUGAAACUGUUUAGCUUGAGGAUGAGAGAGGUGAGUGGAAUUCCCAGUGUAGAGGUGAAAUUCGUAGAUAUUGGGAAGAACACCGGUGGCGAAGGCGGCUCACUGGCUCAUUACUGACGCUCAGGCGCGAUAGCGUGGGGAUCAAACAGG
This 253-nucleotide ribosomal RNA is filed under the name uncultured bacterium. RNAcentral describes it as "partial 16S ribosomal RNA". It matches the Rfam family "Bacterial small subunit ribosomal RNA", at positions 524 to 776 of the family's 1533-position model. The record is from RNAcentral.